Nomascus leucogenys (northern white-cheeked gibbon) is the source of this 657-nucleotide non-coding RNA. NCBI's taxonomy places the organism in Eukaryota, Metazoa, Chordata, Mammalia, Primates, Hylobatidae. The record is from the annotation of a RefSeq genome assembly.
GCUCCAGCUCACAGCGACACCGAUCUGGUAAAGCCCCCAUCCUGGCCUGACCCUGCCAUGGGUACCAGGCUUCUCUGCUGGGUGGUCCUGGGUUUCCUAGGGACAGAUCACACAGGUGCUGGAGUCUCCCAGUCUCCCAGGUACAAAGUCACAAAGAAGGGACAGGAUGUAGCUCUCAGGUGUGAUCCAAUUUCAGGUCAUGUAUCCCUUUAUUGGUACCGACAGACCCUGAGGCAGGGCCCAGAGUUUCUGACUUACUUCAAUUAUGAAGCUCAACAAGACAAAUCAGGGCUGCUCAGUGGUCGGUUCUCUGCAGAGAGGCCUGAGGGAUCCGUCUCCACUCUGAAGAUCCAGCGCACAGAGCAGGGGGACACGGCGGUGUAUCUCUGUGCCAGCAGCUUAGCCACAGCGUGGCACAGUUGCCUCCUUCCUGCUCACAAACCUCAUCCUUCUCUCUCCUUGCAGCUCCUAGAGACCCUUAACAGAGGGCUCUCUUUACUCCUCACUUUUCUUGGGAAAAAGGCAGAUGUGGACCUCGCUGUCCUUUGGUUUGUAUCUAUGAAAGCGAAUGCACUGGCCAGAGCUGAUGUGAUUAUGGAUCAUGGGUUUCGGGGAGUCCUCAGUGUCCCAGACGCAGCCAUGAUAGAGGUGCCCUGA